Molecule: unclassified non-coding RNA, 376 nt
Filed under: soil metagenome
Description: partial contains 5.8S ribosomal RNA, internal transcribed spacer 2, and large subunit ribosomal RNA
Rfam family: 5.8S ribosomal RNA (bases 1-120)
Source: RNAcentral
GAUGAAGAACGUAGCGAAAUGCGAUAAGUAAUGUGAAUUGCAGAAUUCAGUGAAUCAUCGAAUCUUUGAACGCAUCUUGCGCUCCUUGGUAUUCUGAGGAGUAUGCCUGUUUGAGUGUCAUUAAAUUCUCAACUACACUGACUUUGAAUUGGUGUGGCUUGGAUUUGGGGGGAAAAUUGUUGUGGGCUUUUUGUAUAGUUUGCUCCCCUGAAAUUGAUUAGCGGUACCUUUGUGGAACUGUCUACAGGUGUGAUAAUUAUCUACAUCUUAGACAUCUGCUGGAAUGCUGCUUUCUAAACCUUACUUGUAAUGACAAUCUUGACCUCAAAUCAGGUAGGACUACCCGCUGAACUUAAGCAUAUCAAUAAGCGGAGGA